GCAAGCCUGACGGAGCAAUACCGCGUGAGGGAGGAAGGCUCUUGGGUCGUAAACCUCUUUUCUCAGGGAAGAACAAAAUGACGGUACCUGAGGAAUCAGCAUCGGCUAACUCCGUGCCAGCAGCCGCGGUAAUACGGAGGAUGCAAGCGUUAUCCGGAAUGAUUGGGCGUAAAGCGUCCGUAGGUGGUUAUGUAAGUCUGUGGUUAAAGCGUGGGGCUCAACCCCAUAAGGGCCAUGGAAACUACAAGACUUGAGUGAAGUAGGGGUAGAGGGAAUUCCCAGUGUAGCGGUGAAAUGCGUAGAGAUUGGGAAGAACACCGGUGGCGAAA
RNAcentral lists this ribosomal RNA (329 nucleotides) under uncultured cyanobacterium. RNAcentral describes it as "bacterial SSU rRNA". It matches the Rfam family "Bacterial small subunit ribosomal RNA", at positions 377 to 720 of the family's 1533-position model. The record is from RNAcentral. Lineage: Bacteria; Bacillati; Cyanobacteriota.